RNAcentral lists this ribosomal RNA (424 nucleotides) under uncultured Oscillospiraceae bacterium. RNAcentral describes it as "bacterial SSU rRNA". It matches the Rfam family "Bacterial small subunit ribosomal RNA", at positions 355 to 794 of the family's 1533-position model. The record is from RNAcentral. Lineage: Bacteria; Bacillati; Bacillota; Clostridia; Eubacteriales; Oscillospiraceae.
UGGGGAAUAUUAGGCAAUGGGGGCAACCCUGACCUAGCAACGCCGCGUGAAGGAAGAAGGCCUUCGGGUUGUAACUUCUUUUAUGAAGGACGAAGAAAUGACGGUACUUCAUGAAUAAGCCACGGCUAACUACGUGCCAGCAGCCGCGGUAAUACGUAGGUGGCAAGCGUUGUCCGGAUUUACUGGGUGUAAAGGGCGCGUAGGCGGGAUGGCAAGUCAGAUGUGAAAUCCAUGGGCUCAACCCGUGAACUGCAUUUGAAACUGUCGUUCUUGAGUGCGGGAGAGGAAAGCGGAAUUCCUAGUGUAGCGGUGAAAUGCGUAGAUAUUAGGAGGAACACCAGUGGCGAAGGCGGCUUUCUGGACCGUAACUGACGUUGAGGCACGAAAGUGUGGGGAGCAAACGGGGAUUAGAUACCCUGGUAGU